CAUUUUCAAUGAGUGGCAACCUGAAGAUUCUGUUAAUUCAAAUGCUGAAAACCUAAGUGACGAUUAGAUUGUGUGUAUUAAUAUAUUUCGUACCGUUUCUAACGAUGUAACGUUUUAUAAUGCUAUACUUUUGCUAUUAUUGUUGAGUUUGAAUU
Long non-coding RNA from Ipomoea nil (Japanese morning glory), 155 nucleotides. RefSeq lists it as uncharacterized. NCBI's taxonomy places the organism in Eukaryota, Viridiplantae, Streptophyta, Magnoliopsida, Solanales, Convolvulaceae. The transcript has 3 exons. The record is from RefSeq and is a predicted model, not a curated record.